AACGAACGUUAGCGGCGCGCUUAACACAUGCAAGUCGAACGAGAACGGGCUUUCGAGCCCCAGUAAAGUGGCGCACGGGUGAGUAACACGUAGGUAACCAACCCUUGGAUGGGGGAUAACGUUCCGAAAGGAGCGCUAAUACCGCAUACGACCAGCAAUGGUGAAAGUGGGCCUCUUCAUGAAAGCUCACGUCCGAGGACGGGCCUGCGGCCCAUCAGGUAGUUGGAGGGGUAAUGGCCCACCAAGCCUAAGACGGGUAGCUGGUCUGAGAGGAUGAUCAGCCACACUGGAACUGAGACACGGUCCAGACUCCUACGGGAGGCAGCAGUGGGGAAUCUUGCGCAAUGGGCGAAAGCCUGACGCAGCGACGCCGCGUGAGUGAUGAAGGCCUUAGGGUUGUAAAGCUCUGUGGAGAGGGACGAAUAAGGCAUGAUUAAUAGUCAUGUUGAUGACGGUACCUCUUUAGCAAGCACCGGCUAACUCUG
Molecule: ribosomal RNA, 485 nt
Filed under: uncultured Myxococcales bacterium
Lineage: Bacteria; Pseudomonadati; Myxococcota; Myxococcia; Myxococcales
Description: bacterial SSU rRNA
Rfam family: Bacterial small subunit ribosomal RNA
Source: RNAcentral